This 253-nucleotide ribosomal RNA is filed under the name uncultured prokaryote. RNAcentral describes it as "partial 16S ribosomal RNA". It matches the Rfam family "Bacterial small subunit ribosomal RNA", at positions 524 to 776 of the family's 1533-position model. The record is from RNAcentral.
UACGGAGGAUCCGAGCGUUAUCCGGAUUUAUUGGGUUUAAAGGGUGCGUAGGUGGCUUUUUAAGUCAGGGGUGAAAGACGGUAGCUUAACUAUCGCAGUGCCCUUGAUACUGACGGGCUUGAAUGCAGCUGAGGUAGGCGGAAUGUGACAAGUAGCGGUGAAAUGCAUAGAUAUGUCACAGAACACCGAUUGCGAAGGCAGCUCGCUACACUAUUAUUGACGCUGAGGCACGAAAGCGUGGGGAUCAAACAGG